GGUCCAGACUCCUACGGGAGGCAGCAGUGAGGAAUAUUGGUCAAUGGUCGGGAGACUGAACCAGCCAAGCCGCGUGAGGGAGGAAGGUACAGAGUCUCGUAAACCUCUUUUGUCGGAGAACAAAACCCGGGACGUGUCCCGGACUGCGUGUAUCCGAAGAAAAAGCAUCGGCUAACUCCGUGCCAGCAGCCGCGGUAAUACGGAGGAUGCGAGCGUUAUCCGGAUUUAUUGGGUUUAAAGGGUGCGCAGGCGGAGGUGCAAGUCAGCGGUCAAAUUGCGGGGCUCAACCCCGUACUGCCGUUGAAACUGCAUCCCUUGAGUGCGCGAGAAGUAUGCGGAAUGCGUGGUGUAGCGGUGAAAUGCAUAGAUAUCACGCAGAACUCCGAUUGCGAAGGCAGCAUACCGGCGCGCAACUGACGCUCAUGCACGAAAGCGUGGGUAUCGAACAGGAUUAGAUACCCCCGUAGG
Molecule: ribosomal RNA, 468 nt
Filed under: uncultured bacterium
Lineage: Bacteria
Description: bacterial SSU rRNA
Rfam family: Bacterial small subunit ribosomal RNA
Source: RNAcentral